Molecule: unclassified non-coding RNA, 388 nt
Filed under: Hevea brasiliensis (rubber tree)
Lineage: Eukaryota; Viridiplantae; Streptophyta; Magnoliopsida; Malpighiales; Euphorbiaceae
Source: RNAcentral
AAAAGAUCAACAAGUUCAAAGGAGGGAAUCGUACAAUCGACUUUUCUUGGUUCAGUCCAGAAGCGUGUGGAGGUGAUUCUUAGUUCAUCUCUGGAAUUUCAGAAGGAUUUUUCUGAGUACAUGAAAUAUGGAAGAUGGCCAACUGAAGAUUAUGGAAGAAGGGCCUCAACUCUUCUUUCUUGGUAUGUACAAUGGUACAAUGUGCCAUCACCUUUCCAAGUUAAAAGAGCUUUGGACAAAAUCAAUGAAAUUAACACAUCCCCUUCAGUCCCUCUUUUACAUUUGCUGUUCCCUACAACUGAUGUUGCUGCCCUCUAUGAGAUCAACAGAAUAGGAUUUUGCUCCAGGGGAUGAGAUUUGAAUAUCCUUCUCUAAAUUUUAUUGUUGU